AUUACCAGUCUAGGAGAAAGAAGAAAAAAAAGCUAGUGCUGGAAUACCUCAAAAUGCCAUAAUCAUUAAUUAAAUCUGACUGGAAUGAGUAAUGCAAUAUCUUGCCUAGAUUUUACAUUUGACAUGGGCUGCUUAAAGUAACAUAUUCUCCAGUAUAGAUGGACAUAAACAAUGUGUGUGUGUUAGAAAAUAUAUAUAUAUCAUAAAACAAACAAACAAACAAACAAACAAAAAAAUAAAACACAAAAGACUUUCAAGGAAAACAUAGUUUUCUAAAAUUUGUAGGUUCUCCAGUUCUCAUGGUUUGAGAGACAUUGUUUAAAGUAAUUGCAGUGACUCUUGGUAUAAAUUUAUUUGAUACCUUCAGUUCUUGUCAACCUGCUGCAACAAAUACAUGCAGUCUUCUACCCACACAAAGCCAGCCCACCCAACCAAACACAUUCAAAUUGAGUAAAACUUUUCUUGAACACAUGUAAAAUAUGUUUAUAUGUAAAAUAUGUCCAAGAAAAGAUACCUUCUCUCUUUCAGCAUAUUUUACAUGUGUUCAAGAAAUGUACAUAUUCCAGUGCUUUAUUUGAAAUUAUGCUUUGUUUAAAAAUGUACUUCAAUUAUUACCUUUAAUAUACCAUUAAGUAUUCAGAGUGAAGCAAACUGUUGCAUUUGACCUGAUUUCCUUUCUUUUUUAGAGUACAAACAACAUAGUCUGUUACUUGUACUACUUUGCAGAUGACUAUUAGACAUCUAAAGUUUUUGCAAAGCGAAAAUUCUAGUUUAAGUGUUUGUAUUAUGUUUUGUUUUCUCUAACUUCCACUUAUAGUAAAUAAUUCCCAGUGUGCAAUGCAUAUACGGGAAACAAGAAAAGAAAACCUUCAGUCCAGGUCAAGAGAAAAGUGGACCAAUGAAAAGAUAUUUGACCUUAUAUGACCCAUUUUUUUACUGAAUUUUCAGCCUCCUCUCAAGCUGCAGUGCAUGUCUCUGAAUUGAGGAAGAUAAGAGAGUUGUAUAUUGUCCUGAAGGAUGUGCUAAGGACAUAUAAUGCUCCAGGCAUGAACACUGAACACAAGGUUUUUGCUUCUUAUAGGGACAAGAUGAAGAGACAUUUUCCUGAAUAAAUGUCCAAUUGUCCAAUUCUGCUUUGGACCUUCUUUAAAAAAUAAAUAAA
Molecule: long non-coding RNA, 1162 nt
Filed under: Anas platyrhynchos platyrhynchos (common mallard)
Lineage: Eukaryota; Metazoa; Chordata; Aves; Anseriformes; Anatidae
Description: lncRNA (ENSAPLG00000025018.1)
Source: RNAcentral